GAUGAACGCUGGCGGCGUGCCUAAUACAUGCAAGUCGAGCGAACAGACGAGGAGCUUGCUCCUCUGACGUUAGCGGCGGACGGGUGAGUAACACGUGGAUAACCUACCUAUAAGACUGGGAUAACUUCGGGAAACCGGAGCUAAUACCGGAUAAUAUAUUGAACCGCAUGGUUCUAUAGUGAAAGACGGUUUUGCUGUCACUUAUAGAUGGAUCCGCGCCGCAUUAGCUAGUUGGUAAGGUAACGGCUUACCAAGGCAACGAGGCGUAGCCGACCUGAGAGGGUGAUAGGCGACACUGGAAGUGAGACACGGUCCAGACUCCUACGGGAGGCAGCAGUAGGGAAUCUUACGCAAUGGGCGAAAGCCUGACGGAGCAACGCCGCGUGAGUGAUGAAGGUCUUCGGAUCGUAAAACUCUGUUAUUAGGGAAGAACAAAUGUGUAAGUAACUAUGCACGUCUUGACGGUACCUAAUCAGAAAGCCACGGCUAACUACGUG
This 497-nucleotide ribosomal RNA is filed under the name uncultured bacterium. Its description in RNAcentral is "partial 16S ribosomal RNA". It matches the Rfam family "Bacterial small subunit ribosomal RNA", at positions 28 to 507 of the family's 1533-position model. The record is from RNAcentral.